UGCAUUCAGCAUCACGGCAGAUGAUUUUGAUGCUUGGAAAUUCAUAACCUACAGUAGGAAGCUCACUACAUCAAUGCCAAGUCCAAGCAGGGAAUUAUUUAAGCUUGAAGGGAAUAUUAAAUGAUGUGAACUCCUAGAUCGAUCUGCUUUUGACUUGAAUGACUUCCCUUAGUUGACAUGAGGCCCUAGUUCUACUGGAGGGCCACAAGGAGAAUUGGGUUCUCUUUGGAAGCAAAAUGUUGGUGUUACUUCUAUCAUCCAGCAGAACCAGGAUUUCAACAUCCAAAAUGAAGGUGUCCUAGCUUUACCUAGCUUUAAAGGAGCUAUUUUAUUCUUGGGACCUAGAUUAUGAGGGGCUGCUUUAGUGAUUAAGCAUCAUGACAGAUAAUUUCGAUGCUUGGAAAUUCAUAUCCUACAACAGGAGGCUCACUACAUCAGUGCCAAGUCCAAGUAGGGAAUUAUUUAAGCUUGAAGGGAAUGUUAAAUGAUGUGAACUCCUAGAUCGAUCUGCUUUUGACUUGAAUGACUUCCGUUAGUUAACAUGACGCACUAGUCCUGCUAGAGGGGCACAAGGAGAAUUGGUUUCUCUUCGGAAGCAAAAUGUUGGUGUUACUUCUAUCGUCCAACAGAACCAGGAUUUCAACCUCCAAAAUGAAGAUGUCCCAGAUUUACCCGGAUUUAAAGGUGCAAUUUUGUUCUUGGGACCUAGAUUAUGAGAGGUUGCUUUAGUGAUCAAGGAAAAUGAAUUUGGCGUCCUAUAUUCUUUUAAAUACUGCAUUGCAAGGAUUUGGAAUUCCCUGGCUGCUUGGUCAAUACUAUAAAAUGUUAUUGGUUGUUGUGAUACAUCUCAUCGCUCACAAGUAUUUCUACAUGUCACCUCUCAAGCAUGCGCAAUGAUCUUUAAUUGCUGAUUUUGUAAUGAAUUUGCAUAAGAAAGAACAGCUUCAUAGCAAUGAUGUGUCCAUGAUGCAAUCCCACCACUACCCAAAGUAAGUACUGGCUUCUAUGUGCAAGACUGAGAUGCCCGGCCCAUUCAUAGGAUUCCAUGCAAUGGUUUGCACUUUUUUCCUAAAAGAAUAAGUCAGAAACAAAAAGUAAAUCACAGGAACUACACAAGUAUGUGAUCCCUUUUGCCUUUUAUUUUAGCCUCGCUUGCUUCACAUGCAGUAAAUUUGGUAUUGUCUAUUACUUGCUUCAAAAUAUUGAUUGGUCGGUCUACUGGAUUAAGCUUUGGGGGAACAUAUUCAUCUUAUCUUCCACAGAAAAAGCGGCAACAUGCUCCUUCAGUCAGCAGCAGUGGGGUUUCCAUUACUUUUGCUAACAGUAAAGACAUUAUCCAUUUACAGUAAUUGGGUCCCAUCCUGCCAUGCAGCCUAUCGCUCAAAGGUGAUAGAAAUCUUGUGGAAACUGGUAUGUAUUAUGGUAUUUGUUGCAUGAUAGUCUACAUUAUAAUAAUUGUAAAUAUAUAUUGAUACGUAUGUGUUGUCCUUAGUCAAACGUACGAUUGACUUGCUAAAUAUUAUGAUAUAUACAAGGUGGCAGUACAAGUGUUCUUUCCCCAAUUUUCAAACUUCUUUCAGUACUACUUGAUUUUUAUUACAAUGUGUGGAAGACUUAUGCAUUUAUUAUUGAACCUUUGUUCUAAUACUUUCUGUUUGUGGUAUCAUAUGAAAAUAUUUUCUUGAGAUAAUGUGGUUUAGUUCUUUUUCUUUUUUGUUUUAAAAAUUUUCUCUUCUUAAUGUUGAGUAGGAUGUUAUCUUUGAGGU
Molecule: long non-coding RNA, 1766 nt
Organism: Macadamia integrifolia
Lineage: Eukaryota; Viridiplantae; Streptophyta; Magnoliopsida; Proteales; Proteaceae
Exons: 6
Source: RefSeq, a predicted model, not a curated record